Molecule: ribosomal RNA, 459 nt
Filed under: uncultured bacterium
Lineage: Bacteria
Description: partial 16S ribosomal RNA
Rfam family: Bacterial small subunit ribosomal RNA
Source: RNAcentral
CCUACGGGAGGCAGCAGUGAGGAAUAUUGGUCAAUGGGCGCGAGCCUGAACCAGCCAAGUCGCGUGAAGGAUGACUGCCCUACGGGUUGUAAACUUCUUUUAUAAAGGAAUAAAGUGAGGCACGUGUGCCUUUUUGUAUGUACUUUAUGAAUAAGGAUCGGCUAACUCCGUGCCAGCAGCCGCGGUAAUACGGGGGAUCCGAGCGUUAUCCGGAUUUAGGGGGGUAAAGGGAGCGUAGAUGGGUUGUUAAGUCAGUUGUGACAGUGUGGGGCUCAACCGUAGAAGUGCAAUUGAUACUGGCAGCCUGGAGUACAGUUGAGGUAGGCGGAAUGCGUGGUGUAGCGGUGAAAUGCUUAGAUAUCACGAAGAACUCCGAUUGCGAAGGCAGCUUACUAAACUGCCACUGACAUUGAUGCUCGAAAGUGUGGGUAUCAAACAGGAUUAGAUACCCUUGUAGUC